Molecule: ribosomal RNA, 497 nt
Filed under: uncultured bacterium
Lineage: Bacteria
Description: partial 16S ribosomal RNA
Rfam family: Bacterial small subunit ribosomal RNA
Source: RNAcentral
GACGAACGCUGGCGGCGUGCCUAAUACAUGCAAGUUGAGCGCUGAAGGUUGGUACUUGUACCGACUGGAUGAGCAGCGAACGGGUGAGUAACGCGUGGGGAAUCUGCCUUUGAGCGGGGGACAACAUUUGGAAACGAAUGCUAAUACCGCAUAAAAACUUUAAACACAAGUUUUAAGUUUGAAAGAUGCAAUUGCAUCACUCAAAGAUGAUCCCGCGUUGUAUUAGCUAGUUGGUGAGGUAAAGGCUCACCAAGGCGAUGAUACAUAGCCGAACUGAGAGGGUGAUCGGCCACAUUGGGACUGAGAAACGGCCCAAACUCCUACGGGAGGCAGCAGUAGGGAAUCUUCGGCAAUGGACGAAAGUCUGAACGAGCAACGCCGCGGGAGUGAAGAAGGUUUUCGGAUCGUAAAACUCUGUUGGUAGAGAAGAACGUUGAUGAGAGUGGAAAGCUCAUCAAGUGACGGUAACUACCCAGAAAGGGACGGCUAACUACGUG